This 458-nucleotide ribosomal RNA is filed under the name uncultured bacterium. Its description in RNAcentral is "partial 16S ribosomal RNA". The stretch from base 1 to 172 matches the Rfam family "Bacterial small subunit ribosomal RNA", at positions 1366 to 1533 of the family's 1533-position model. The record is from RNAcentral.
AUACGUUCCCGGGCCUUGUACACACCGCCCGUCACACCACGAAAGUUUGUUGUACCCGAAGUCGGUGCCUUAACCUCGCAAGAGGAGAGAGCCGCCCAAGGUAUGGCCGAUGAUUGGGGUGAAGUCGUAACAAGGUAGCCGUAGGGGAACCUGCGGCUGGAUCACCUCCUUUCUAGGAGAGAAGGGUCCUGGAUGAAGCGCUCCUAUUUAGUCUUGUGAAGGAUCCGAGUGGAAGCCGGGACCGGAGAAAGACCGGGCCUGUAGCUCAGAUGGUGAGAGCGCACGCCUGAUAAGCGUGAGGUCGAUAGUUCGAAUCUAUCCAAGGCCCACCAUCUGCGGGGAUGUAGCUCAGUUGGGAGAGCGCCUGCUUUGCAAGCAGGAGGUCAGCGGUUCGAUCCCGCUCAUCUCCACCACGGAGAAGGGACACGGCCGGAGAGAAAGAGGUCCGGCGGAGAAGG